GAUUAACGCUGGCGGCGUGCAUAACACAUGCAAGUCGAACGAUGAAACUUAACUGAUUUCUUCGGAAUGAUUUUAAGUGGAUUAGUGGCGGACGGGUGAGUAACGCGUGAGUAACCUGCCUUGGAGAAGGGGAUAGCCUUUGGAAACGAAGAAUAAUACCCUAUGAUAUGAUAAUAUCUCAUGAUAUUAUCAUCAAAGAUUUAUCGCUCUAAGAUGGACUUGCGUCUGAUUAGUUAGUUGGUGAGGUAACAGCUCACCAAGGCAGCGAUCAGUAGCCGGCUGGAGAGAGUGUACGGCAACAUUGGGACUGAGACACGGCCCAGACUCCUACGGGAGGCAGCAGUGGGGAAUUUUGCACAAUGGGGGAAACCCUGAUGCAGCGACGCCGCGUGAUUUAGAAGGCCUUCGGGUUGUAAAAAUCUUUUGUAUGGGAAGAAAAUGACAGUACCAUACGAAUAAGGACCGGCUAAUUACGUG
RNAcentral lists this ribosomal RNA (477 nucleotides) under uncultured bacterium. Its description in RNAcentral is "partial 16S ribosomal RNA". It matches the Rfam family "Bacterial small subunit ribosomal RNA", at positions 28 to 507 of the family's 1533-position model. The record is from RNAcentral.